RNAcentral lists this non-coding RNA (171 nucleotides) under human gut metagenome. Its description in RNAcentral is "Lysine riboswitch". It matches the Rfam family "Lysine riboswitch aptamer". Rfam says of the family: Riboswitches are metabolite binding domains within certain messenger RNAs that serve as precision sensors for their corresponding targets. Allosteric rearrangement of mRNA structure is mediated by ligand binding, and this results in modulation of gene expression. The record is from RNAcentral.
CAGUAAGAGGUGCGUUUUUCAUCAGUAAACUGGGUCUUGAUACCGGAGUCUUAUAUACCUGGAAGAAAGGGGAAAUCGCCGAAGGAAAAAUGGGGUCCGCGCCAUGGUUCCUGGGGUUUCAGUGAAUAACUGAAGCACUGUCACUUGCUAAAGCUUGUGGAGAGCUGCUGU